UCCGGCUCAGGACGAACGCUGGCGGCGUGCCUAAUACAUGCAAGUCGAACGCUUCUUUUUCCACCGGAGCUUGCUCCACCGGAAAAAGAGGAGUGGCGAACGGGUGAGUAACACGUGGGUAACCUGCCCAUCAGAAGGGGAUAACACUUGGAAACAGGUGCUAAUACCGUAUAACAAUCGAAACCGCAUGGUUUUGAUUUGAAAGGCGCUUUCGGGUGUCGCUGAUGGAUGGACCCGCGGUGCAUUAGCUAGUUGGUGAGGUAACGGCUCACCAAGGCCACGAUGCAUAGCCGACCUGAGAGGGUGAUCGGCCACAUUGGGACUGAGACACGGCCCAAACUCCUACGGGAGGCAGCAGUAGGGAAUCUUCGGCAAUGGACGAAAGUCUGACCGAGCAACGCCGCGUGAGUGAAGAAGGUUUUCGGAUCGUAAAACUCUGUUGUUAGAGAAGAACAAGGAUGAGAGUAACUGUUCAUCCCUUGACGGUAUCUAACCAGAAAGCCACGGCUAACUA
This 514-nucleotide ribosomal RNA is filed under the name Enterococcus faecium. Its description in RNAcentral is "bacterial SSU rRNA". It matches the Rfam family "Bacterial small subunit ribosomal RNA", at positions 18 to 503 of the family's 1533-position model. The record is from RNAcentral. Lineage: Bacteria; Bacillati; Bacillota; Bacilli; Lactobacillales; Enterococcaceae.